GAUGAACGCUGGCGGCGUGCCUAACACAUGCAAGUUGAGCGUGAAGUUUAUAUUGAUUCUUCGGAUGAUUUAUAAAUGGAAAGCAGCGGACGGGUGAGUAACGCGUGGAUAACCUGCCCUAUACUCCAGGAUAACAUACCGAAAGGUAUGCUAAUACUGGAUAAUAUACAUUAGUCGCAUGGCUUCUGUAUCAAAGAUUACGGUAUAGGAUGGAUCCGCGUUCCAUUAGCUAGUUGGUGGGGUAAAGGCCUACCAAGGCGACGAUGGAUAGCCGACCUGAGAGGGUGAUCGGCCACACUGGAACUGAGACACGGUCCAGACUCCUACGGGAGGCAGCAGUGGGGAAUAUUGCACAAUGGGCGAAAGCCUGAUGCAGCAACGCCGCGUGAGCGAUGAAGGCCUUCGGGUCGUAAAGCUCUGUCCUAAAGGAAGAAUUUUGACGGUACUUUAGGAGGAAGCCCCGGCUAAUUACGUGCCAGCAGCCGCGGUAAUACGUAAGGGGCUAGCGUUAUCCGGAAUUACUGGGCCGUAAAGGGUACGUAGGCGGUUUAUUAAGUCAGGGUGAAAGGCUACGGCUCA
Molecule: ribosomal RNA, 579 nt
Filed under: uncultured bacterium
Lineage: Bacteria
Description: bacterial SSU rRNA
Rfam family: Bacterial small subunit ribosomal RNA
Source: RNAcentral